GUACACGCUGUGACUAGCAUAUCAAUAAGCGGAGGAAAAGAAACUAACAAGGAUUCCCUUAGUAACGGCGAGUGAAGCGGGAAGAGCUCAAAUUUGAAAUCUUCAAGGUUUUACCUUGACGAAUUGUAGUUUAAAGAAGUGUUUUCUGUUGAAGUUUUGGUAAAAGUUCUUUGGAAUAGGACAUCAUAGAGGGUGAGAAUCCCGUAUUUGACCAUUAUUUUCAGCUGUGUGAUACACUUUCAAAGAGUCGGAUUGUUUGGGAAUGCAGUCCAAAAUGGGUGGUAAAUUUCUAUCUAAGGCUAAAUAUUGGCGAGAGACCGAUAGCGAACAAGUACCGUGAGGGAAAGAUGAAAAGAACUUUGAAAAGAGAGUUAAAUAGUACGUGAAAUUGUCCAAAAGGGAUGCGUUUAACACCAGUGUUGUUUUCUGAAAAUCAACCUCUGUUAGCUUUAUGCAUGUUUGUUUAGACCUAAUCAGCUAUCUUGCAUGUUCUAUUGUUUGCAGUGGUGCACUUUUCAGUUUACAGGUCAACAUCAGUUUUUUUUACCGUAAAAAAGUUAAAGAAAGGUAGCUCAUGGCUCCGGUCGUGAGUGUUAUAGUCUUUUUCCUAUGCGGUAGGAGAGACUGAGGUCUGCAGUGUAGGCUAUUUGGCUAGAUACUCAGGUGCUAUGUGAUACCAUUUCAUAAACAACUUGUUGAUUAUGUUUUGUCUAUUGCAUACUCGCUUGUACUAUCAUACCUACGCUUAGGAUGUUGACGCAUGAGAUAUACGC
Molecule: ribosomal RNA, 773 nt
Filed under: uncultured Neocallimastigales
Lineage: Eukaryota; Fungi; Neocallimastigomycota; Neocallimastigomycetes; Neocallimastigales
Description: partial large subunit ribosomal RNA
Rfam family: Eukaryotic large subunit ribosomal RNA
Source: RNAcentral